AUACACUACUAACAAAGUAAACGUUGAUUUUCUCUUGAACAAAAAUUUUAUGUAUUAUUAAUAUGCCAGCAAAAUACUUCUGUUCACCUUUUGAAUACAUUCAAAAGGAGAGUGAGUACAAAAGAGAAUUUUCUCAUGCUCUGGGGGGGGCCUGGGUCAGCUCAGGAAGGAAGCCCUGCCUGUAAAGGCUGCAGCUUAGGCUGUCUCUCUUCACUUAGCCCAGCAUCUGAUCACAUCUUCUGUCACUCAGGGCCUGAGGGGCGGGACCUAAAGCAUUAUCCAAUCAGAGACGCUGGGCUGGAAACCGUCCAAUCAGGCACGCAGCUGGAGCGACGAGGACGGCUUUCCGCUUUUGGCGCGGCCUUUGUCUCUAGCUGCAGCCGGCGUUUCAGGUCUCGUCUUCACUGGUCUGUGUCCUAUUCUCCUGGAGGCCCAGCCUCUGUGGCCCUGUGACCUGCAGGUAUUGGGAGAUCCACAGCUAAAACCCCAGGACACCCUGGAAGCAUAGAAAUGGUUCUGUAGCAGAAAUUGCUGGUGUCUGUGGCAGGGGAGGGCACCUGAGGACAGGGAAGAAGAAACAUAUUUUUAUCUUUAUGGAGCAGCACAUUGUUCCCAAAUACCUUCUGCUUUAAGGGACAGAAAUGGAUGGACUUUUUCUGUCUUUUCUGCCAGUUGAUGUCAUGCUUGCAGGUCCAUCUUCUGUAGCGCUGCUGCAGUUUGCUAGGGGCUAACUUCAGGACCUAUUCAUCUGGUUCACCGCCGUGCCUGGAGAUGUCACUCAAGGAAGUUGGAGAACAGCAAAGAAGAGUGCCCGCUCCUUCCUCUGGGAUCUCUGACCUCAAGAGGCACAAACCUGAUGCCAGUAGAAUUGCUCCUCUAUAGGGUGUCUGACAAUCCCUGUUGAAGGGUCUCAUCCAGUUGGGUGGCACAGGAAGCAGAACUCAUUUAAUGAAGCACUUUGACUGUCCUUUGGUGGAGGGGGGUGUUUCACUGGGGGAAAAUCCACUCAUCUGGGCUGCUCAAAUUCUUCAAAACUAGCAGGAGGAAAGGCUAAGUCUGCUGGUCCACAGAGACUGCAGCCACCCCUCCCCCUAGGGUUCUGCUCUGAUCUUU
This 1113-nucleotide long non-coding RNA is filed under the name Homo sapiens (human). Its description in RNAcentral is "HSALNT0396558". The record is from RNAcentral. Lineage: Eukaryota; Metazoa; Chordata; Mammalia; Primates; Hominidae.